RNAcentral lists this small nucleolar RNA (104 nucleotides) under Jaculus jaculus (lesser Egyptian jerboa). Its description in RNAcentral is "Small nucleolar RNA SNORA70 (ENSJJAG00000008590.1)". It matches the Rfam family "Small nucleolar RNA SNORA70". Rfam says of the family: snoRNA U70 seems to be exclusive to mammals and is a member of the H/ACA class of snoRNA which contain H (ANANNA) and ACA box motifs. Lineage: Eukaryota; Metazoa; Chordata; Mammalia; Rodentia; Dipodidae. The record is from RNAcentral.
AAGCAACUAUCCUGAGUGUGCAGUAGCCACUCACAGCAACCUUCCUGGUAGUGGAUGCAGCCUGUAGUUUAUAUGGAAUUCCCUAGGGGACCCUGGAGACAGUU